RNAcentral lists this transfer RNA (73 nucleotides) under Pelodiscus sinensis (Chinese soft-shelled turtle). It matches the Rfam family "tRNA". Rfam says of the family: Transfer RNA (tRNA) molecules are approximately 80 nucleotides in length. Their secondary structure includes four short double-helical elements and three loops (D, anti-codon, and T loops). The record is from Rfam by way of RNAcentral. Lineage: Eukaryota; Metazoa; Chordata; Testudines; Trionychidae.
GCUGAAGUAGCUCAGUUGGGAGAGCCUUAAACUGAAGAUCUAAUAGUGCCUGAAUCAUUUCCAGCCUUUGGCA